Molecule: ribosomal RNA, 466 nt
Filed under: uncultured bacterium
Lineage: Bacteria
Description: partial 16S ribosomal RNA
Rfam family: Bacterial small subunit ribosomal RNA
Source: RNAcentral
UGGGGAAUAUUGCACAAUGGGCGAAAGCCUGAUGCAGCGACGCCGCGUGCGGGAUGAAGGCCUUCGGGUUGUAAACCGCUUUUGGUUGGGAGCAAGCGAGAGUGAGUGUACCUUUCGAAUAAGCACCGGCUAACUACGUGCCAGCAGCCGCGGUAAUACGUAGGGUGCAAGCGUUAUCCGGAAUUAUUGGGCGUAAAGAGCUCGUAGGCGGUUUGUCGCGUCUGGUGUGAAAGUCCAUCGCUUAACGGUGGAUCUGCGCCGGGUACGGGCAGGCUAGAGUGCGACAGGGGAGACUGGAAUUCCCGGUGUAACGGUGGAAUGUGUAGAUAUCGGGAAGAACACCAAUGGCGAAGGCAGGUCUCUGGGUCGUCACUGACGCUGAGGAGCGAAAAGCGUGGGGAGCGAACAGGAUUAGAUACCCUGGUAGUCCACGCCGUAAACGGUGGAUGCUGGAUGUGGGGCCCAU